Molecule: ribosomal RNA, 253 nt
Filed under: uncultured bacterium
Lineage: Bacteria
Description: partial 16S ribosomal RNA
Rfam family: Bacterial small subunit ribosomal RNA
Source: RNAcentral
UACGAAGGGGGCUAGCGUUGCUCGGAAUCACUGGGCGUAAAGGGUGCGUAGGCGGGUCUUUAAGUCAGGGGUGAAAUCCUGGAGCUCAACUCCAGAACUGCCUUUGAUACUGAGGAUCUUGAGUUCGGGAGAGGUGAGUGGAACUGCGAGUGUAGAGGUGAAAUUCGUAGAUAUUCGGAAGAACACCAGUGGCGAAGGCGACACACUGGGCCAUUACUGACGCUGAGGCGCGAAAGCGUGGGGAGCAAACAGG